RNAcentral lists this long non-coding RNA (2800 nucleotides) under Piliocolobus tephrosceles (Ugandan red Colobus). Its description in RNAcentral is "lncRNA (ENSPTEG00000023273.1)". The record is from RNAcentral. Lineage: Eukaryota; Metazoa; Chordata; Mammalia; Primates; Cercopithecidae.
UUUUUCCUUUUCUUUUUUUUUUUUAAAUAUGUGAAUUGUGAUAUACCAGUUCAUUGUCUAAGUAGACAUGUUAUUGGAACAUGGGAAAUAAAUAUAGGAUUGUUGAAAAGGACCAAUAUGGUUGAUACAGACUAUGAUUAUAAUUGUGGGUAUAAACGGCCAGACCAUGAAGAUUACCACGGUGUAACACAUAAAAUAAAUAUAAAAUAAAUUUAUAUAAAUGAGUUCGAUCACAUAUAAAUAUAUAUAGUGCUACUUAUAUAAACGAGCUCAUUUUGCAAUUACAAAACUUUUUUUUUUUUUUUUUUUUUUUUUUUUUUUUUUUUUUUUUUUUUUUUAUUACAUAUAUUACAAAAACAUAUGUGUUCACAUGUCUUAAUAGUAUGUACAAAUUUAUUACGUGUAAAUUUUAUUUUAUUUUAUUUUAUUUUUUUUUUUUUUAUUCUACCUUUUUGUGAUAGAAAACCUAAACCCUGAGAUAUUAAAAGAAAAGUUUGAAAGAAAAAAAAAAAUGUUUCUCGUAUUUAAUAAUGAUAGAACUGUAAAUGUAAUAGUGAAUAAUAAAAAGAGUUAUGAUUAUGGUGGUUACUGGAGAAUAAUAUACGAUGAAGGUUUAUAUAUGGAGCUAUACAAUAUAAAAAAAAAAACAAAAGAAAUUUAUUUUUCUUUUUUUAAGUUUAAAAAGAUAGAAAAUAUGUCUUACAGUUAUUGUUAUAACUUCAUUAUGGGUAUGACAAAUAUAUAUCAGUUAAAAAAAUGGUCUACUGGGCAGUUUCCAUUUAGUAAUAAAAAAAUUGAUGAAGAUAUAUAUAGCAGUGUGAACAGGAAGGAAUUUAAUAAUGAUAGAGAAAUAAAUUUUAAUGAACAAGGUAAGAUGACCAAAGGAAAUAGUAACACAUAUUAUAACACAAGUGAAAAAAAAAAGAAAUAUAAAAAUCGUGGUUUCUUGUUUUAUUAUAAUAAAAAAUGGAACUCUUUUUUUAAUUGUAAAAACGAUGAUAAUUACUUUAAAACUAAUGAACGUUUUAACAGUUUAAAAGGAUUUGUUUCAUUAAAACGUAAAAUGUGCAAACCGAUUGAGUAUACUACCAGUACGAUUAUGCUGGGACAACCCAUAUUGAAUAAUUAUUACAUACAGAAUGAUAAAAAAAAAAGAAGAUUUAACUUAUCAAAGAAAUUAAUUAAAUUUGCAACUAUAAUAGAUAGUUAUGUCGAUAAUUCCAUAAAUUUUGAUGAAUUAAAUUUAAAUAGGUAUUGUUGGAGUGGGCACAAAAUAAAUGUACCUACAAAUAAUCCAACAAAUAUAAUUCCGGUUAGUGGUAUACAUCCAUCAAAAACAAAUAAAACGUUAACACAUGAUAAAAACGAUAACAUAGUGAAUAUGGAAAACGUAAAAUCUAAGUUGGCAACAGUAAAUGCAACUAUACAAGUAAACGAAAAAAUUAUCCCUAAAAAAAGUGACUAUGUUAAAACAUAUAGGAACAGUUACAACAUUGGUAAUGGAAAAAUCACUUAUAACAAUGUUGAAAGUGCUAACAUAAAUAAUACAAUAAAACAUACAUACAUAAACAAAAUUAAAUCAAAUGACAAUAAAAAAAAAUUAAAACAAAAUAGUUUAGUAGACAAAUAUAGUGACAAAAUAGUAAAGUUAAAAGAAUUUGAUUGGACUAAUGAAAAUGAUGUAAAAAAAAGAUUAAAUAGUAAUACUUAUGUAAAAAUUAUUGAUGAACCGAUAAAUCAAAAAAGUUGUGGUUCUUGUUAUGCCAACUCAGCUAUAAUUAUAAUUAAUAGCAGAUUAAGAAUUAAAUAUCAUUAUAUAAAAAAUAUAGACUUCUUAUUAUAUGGUAAAGAUCAGUUAGUUUUAUGUGAUAUGUUUAAUCAAGGUUGUGAUGGUGGUUAUAUAUAUAUAUCUUUAAAAUAUGCAUAUGAAAAUUAUUUAUAUACUAAUUCGUGUUUUUCAAAAUAUUUGUAUGAACAUAUGAGUGGGGACAGUACUAACGAUAAUGCAGUAUGCGAAUAUUUUGAUACGUUCAGUAUAUUUUUAAGUAAAAAACAAAAAAGUGAUAUCAAUGGUAUUAAUACUGUUGGUGGUAUGAGUAAAAGUUUUAGAAGCCAUAUACCCAAUAUAAGUUCCCAAAUGAAAAAAAAAAAUAAUACACUUUAUGAUAAUUAUGUACUUGUUACAAAACAAAUGAAUGAAAAAAAAAAAGUGGACCUAAAGAAAAUAAACAUAUGUGACACAAAAAUAAAAAUAAGACAAUUUUUUUAUUUAGAUAUACAAAAGGAAGAAGAUAUAAAAAAGUAUUUAUAUUAUAAUGGACCUAUUGCUGCUGCUAUUGAACCACCUAUUACGUUUACAAAAUAUAAACAUGGUAUAUUGAAAGGAAGUUAUAUAAAAAUGUAUGAUGGUGAUGAGUCGGAUGCGUAUAUAUGGAAUAAAGUAGACCAUGCUGUAGUGAUAGUUGGUUGGGGUGAAGAUACUCCAUCCAAUUUAAUUAACCGUGAAAAAGAGCAUGGACAUAUAUAUGAUAAGCAUAUAACAGAACAUCUAGCUAAACAUAUGUCUAAAAAUAUGUCGAAAGAUAUGUCUAAAAAACGUGAUAAUGAUAAAAAUAAAAAUGAUAACAACAGUAACAGCAAUACUGAUGAUAAUCCCAAUGUGAUAAAAUAUUGGAAGGUAUUAAACAGUUGGGGAAAAAACUGGGGAAGUCAUGGUUACUUUUAUAUGAUACGAAACCAGAACAGUUUUAAUAUAACAUCGUAUCUGCUAACGUGUGAUGUUAACAUGUUUAUAAAAAUG